RNAcentral lists this non-coding RNA (24 nucleotides) under Arabidopsis thaliana (thale cress). Lineage: Eukaryota; Viridiplantae; Streptophyta; Magnoliopsida; Brassicales; Brassicaceae. The record is from RNAcentral.
UUCCAAUUACAUAUUCCUAUUAGA